GCUUAACACAUGCAAGUCGAGCGGUAACAUUUCUAGCUUGCUAGAAGAUGACGAGCGGCGGACGGGUGAGUAACGCGUAGGAAUCUGCCUAGUAGUGGGGGACAACAUGUGGAAACGCAUGCUAAUACCGCAUACGCCCUACGGGGGAAAGGAGGGGAUCUUCGGACCUUUCGCUAUUAGAUGAGCCUGCGUGAGAUUAGCUAGUUGGUGGGGUAAAGGCCUACCAAGGCGACGAUCUCUAGCUGGUCUGAGAGGAUGAUCAGCCACACUGGGACUGAGACACGGCCCAGACUCCUACGGGAGGCAGCAGCGGGGAAUAUUGGACAAUGGGCGCAAGCCUGAUCCAGCCAUGCCGCGUGUGUGAAGAAGGCCUUAGGGUUGUAAAGCACUUUCAGGAGUGAGGAAGGGCGUGCAGUUAAUACCUGUAUGUCUUGACGUUAACUCCAGAAGAAGCACCGGCUAACUCUGUGCCAGCAGCCGCGGUAAUACAGAGGGUGCGAGCGUUAAUCGGAAUUACUGCGCGUAAAGCGCGCGU
This 535-nucleotide ribosomal RNA is filed under the name uncultured bacterium. RNAcentral describes it as "bacterial SSU rRNA". It matches the Rfam family "Bacterial small subunit ribosomal RNA", at positions 46 to 572 of the family's 1533-position model. The record is from RNAcentral.